This 578-nucleotide ribosomal RNA is filed under the name uncultured Bacteroidota bacterium. RNAcentral describes it as "bacterial SSU rRNA". It matches the Rfam family "Bacterial small subunit ribosomal RNA", at positions 338 to 916 of the family's 1533-position model. The record is from RNAcentral. Lineage: Bacteria; Pseudomonadati; Bacteroidota.
CCUACGGGAGGCAGCAGUGAGGAAUAUUGGUCAAUGGGCGGAAGCCUGAACCAGCCAAGUAGCGUGCAGGAUGACGGCCCUAUGGGUUGUAAACUGCUUUUAUACAGGAAUAAAGUUAGCCACGUGUGGUUAUUUGUAGGUACUGUAUGAAUAAGGACCGGCUAAUUCCGUGCCAGCAGCCGCGGUAAUACGGAAGGUCCAGGCGUUAUCCGGAUUUAUUGGGUUUAAAGGGAGCGUAGGCCGUCUGUUAAGCGUGUUGUGAAAUGUAGAUGCUCAACAUCUGAAUUGCAGCGCGAACUGGCAGACUUGAGUGUGCGCAGCGUAGGCGGAAUUCGUGGUGUAGCGGUGAAAUGCUUAGAUAUCACGAAGAACUCCGAUUGCGAAGGCAGCUUACGGGAGCACAACUGACGCUGAAGCUCGAAAGUGCGGGUAUCGAACAGGAUUAGAUACCCUGGUAGUCCGCACGGUAAACGAUGGAUGCCCGCUGUUGACCCACCUGGGCCAGCGGCCAAGCGAAAGCAUUAAGCAUCCCACCUGGGGAGUACGCCGGCAACGGUGAAACUCAAAGGAAUUGACGG